RNAcentral lists this ribosomal RNA (1213 nucleotides) under Salmonella enterica subsp. enterica serovar Indiana. RNAcentral's name for it is "partial 23S ribosomal RNA". It matches the Rfam family "Bacterial large subunit ribosomal RNA", at positions 424 to 1556 of the family's 2925-position model. Lineage: Bacteria; Pseudomonadati; Pseudomonadota; Gammaproteobacteria; Enterobacterales; Enterobacteriaceae. The record is from RNAcentral.
ACGUGGUAUCCUGUCUGAAUAUGGGGGGACCAUCCUCCAAGGCUAAAUACUCCUGACUGACCGAUAGUGAACCAGUACCGUGAGGGAAAGGCGAAAAGAACCCCGGCGAGGGGAGUGAAAAAGAACCUGAAACCGUGUACGUACAAGCAGUGGGAGCACCCUUCGGGGUGUGACUGCGUACCUUUUGUAUAAUGGGUCAGCGACUUAUAUUCUGUAGCAAGGUUAACCGAAUAGGGGAGCCGGAGGGAAACCGAGUCUUAAUUGGGCGUUAAGUUGCAGGGUAUAGACCCGAAACCCGGUGAUCUAGCCAUGGGCAGGUUGAAGGUUGGGUAACACUAACUGGAGGACCGAACCGACUAAUGUUGAAAAAUUAGCGGAUGACCUGUGGCUGGGGGUGAAAGGCCAAUCAAACCGGGAGAUAGCUGGUUCUCCCCGAAAGCUAUUUAGGUAGCGCCUCGUGAAUUCAUCUCCGGGGGUAGAGCACUGUUUCGGCUAGGGGGCCAUCCCGGCUUACCAACCCGAUGCAAACUGCGAAUACCGGAGAAUGUUAUCACGGGAGACACACGGCGGGUGCUAACGUCCGUCGUGAAGAGGGAAACAACCCAGACCGCCAGCUAAGGUCCCAAAGUCAUGGUUAAGUGGGAAACGAUGUGGGAAGGCCCAGACAGCCAGGAUGUUGGCUUAGAAGCAGCCAUCAUUUAAAGAAAGCGUAAUAGCUCACUGGUCGAGUCGGCCUGCGCGGAAGAUGUAACGGGGCUAAACCAUGCACCGAAGCUGCGGCAGCGAACGUAUCACCCAAGACAACUUUGCGGAGUUGACGAUUGACGGAGCGAAGCGACGUCAAAGCGUUCAUUAAAGUCGAGUUGGCUUAGGGAUACGUUCGUUGGGUAGGGGAGCGUUCUGUAAGCCUGUGAAGGUGUGCUGUGAGGCAUGCUGGAGGUAUCAGAAGUGCGAAUGCUGACAUAAGUAACGAUAAAGCGGGUGAAAAGCCCGCUCGCCGGAAGACCAAGGGUUCCUGUCCAACGUUAAUCGGGGCAGGGUGAGUCGACCCCUAAGGCGAGGCCGAAAGGCGUAGUCGAUGGGAAACGGGUUAAUAUUCCCGUACUUGGUGUUACUGCGAAGGGGGGACGGAGAAGGCUAUGUUGGCCGGGCGACGGUUGUCCCGGUUUAAGCGUGUAGGUGUGUGUUCCAGGUAAAUCCGGUUCACUUUAAC